RNAcentral lists this ribosomal RNA (508 nucleotides) under uncultured bacterium. RNAcentral describes it as "partial 16S ribosomal RNA". It matches the Rfam family "Bacterial small subunit ribosomal RNA", at positions 28 to 507 of the family's 1533-position model. The record is from RNAcentral.
GACGAACGCUGGCGGCGUGCCUAAUACAUGCAAGUCGAACGCUUCUUUCCUCCCGAGUGCUUGCACUCAAUUGGAAAGAGGAGUGGCGGACGGGUGAGUAACACGUGGGUAACCUACCCAUCAGAGGGGGAUAACACUUGGAAACAGGUGCUAAUACCGCAUAACAGUUUAUGCCGCAUGGCAUAAGAGUGAAAGGCGCUUUCGGGUGUCGCUGAUGGAUGGACCCGCGGUGCAUUAGCUAGUUGGUGAGGUAACGGCUCACCAAGGCCACGAUGCAUAGCCGACCUGAGAGGGUGAUCGGCCACACUGGGACUGAGACACGGCCCAGACUCCUACGGGAGGCAGCAGUAGGGAAUCUUCGGCAAUGGACGAAAGUCUGACCGAGCAACGCCGCGUGAGUGAAGAAGGUUUUCGGAACGUAAAACUCUGUUGUUAGAGAAGAACAAGGACGUUAGUAACUGAACGUCCCCUGACGGUAUCUAACCAGAAAGCCACGGCUAACUACGUG